This 54-nucleotide microRNA precursor is filed under the name Dasypus novemcinctus (nine-banded armadillo). RNAcentral's name for it is "miRNA (ENSDNOG00000048299.1)". Lineage: Eukaryota; Metazoa; Chordata; Mammalia; Cingulata; Dasypodidae. The record is from RNAcentral.
ACUUUCCCGGGAUUUAGAACGCUUCCGUACUCGUUCCUUGUCCCGGGACCGCGA